Molecule: long non-coding RNA, 645 nt
Filed under: Homo sapiens (human)
Lineage: Eukaryota; Metazoa; Chordata; Mammalia; Primates; Hominidae
Description: HSALNT0357009
Source: RNAcentral
UUGUUUUUGGAAAGAGCGCUAUACAAUGUUAAUUUCUUCACUGAUGAGUCAAUGGAUGAAUGAAAGGAUGUCUUCUUUAAACUGCUGCACGUUGGUGGGAUAUGAUGCUAGAAGGGACCUCAGGGAUGAUUCCAGGCCAGAAUGUUGACGGCUCCCAACCAAAGAGAAAAAUUCAGAUUAUAAUGAAGAAGCUGAGGGCGAGGCCACUGUGCUUCCCCAAGGUUGCUGUAUGAGUUGGGGUGGAAAUGGGCCAGCUCCAGCCUUCUGCCUCCCAGCCUGGCUUCUUGUCCUCCACCAGCUGUCACUCGGAAAGUGAACAGAGAAGCCCUUGCCACUAUAGUGGACAAGGGAAACUGUGGAUACAGAUUCCAGCAGUGAGAAAGGACAUGUUUUCCCAGGACAUGCACUCAUAAAUCUGUAUCAGUCACUAACAAUCUCGGGAUGAACAAGUUCACUAUUGUCGACUUUGGAAACUAGCUAGGAGCUGGAAUUCUGAUGGGGAAAUAAACAUCAUUUUAGAUCCAGGAAGUUCAGAAUGAAAAUGAAAAAGCAGAUCUAGAUGGAAUGCUUCUAGAAGGCAAAGGAAGGUGCAGUGGACAGAGGUGGUGUCCAGGCCCUGGCACUGAUAUGGGGUCUCACUCUGUC